Molecule: long non-coding RNA, 922 nt
Filed under: Fukomys damarensis (Damara mole-rat)
Lineage: Eukaryota; Metazoa; Chordata; Mammalia; Rodentia; Bathyergidae
Description: lncRNA (ENSFDAG00000030464.1)
Source: RNAcentral
AUGGGAGAGCAGAGGGAGGGACUGAGAGGGAGGAGCGAAGAUAUAGAAUUUAGUAAUGAUAAUAUUUGCCCUUCCUCCCUCACAGAAUUAAAUGCAAUGACUAAUGUGCAAUUUACCCUGCAAAUAUACUUUUCUGUUGCUAGUAUUCUCCUUUCCUGUUCGGAAGCAACCUAUCCCAUGGACAUUCCUUUCUGCCCCACAGGUUCUACUUGGUGGCGAGGAAGUGUUCCUAGCACGUGGAGUCUUGCAUCUGGCAGAUUAAAACUUUUCAGUGAAGACCAUGGAGAAUUUAGCUGAUUCAUUGUCCUUGAUGAGACACCAUGGAAAACAAUGACCCCUGGCAGAAGGGGCCAGGGACUCCACGCGCAGCUGUGCCAGCUAUAGUCUGUAGAAAGACUCCCAGCAAGGAUGUGAGAGGGGUUGAAACUAGCCAAGAUCUGUUUCUAAGCCAUGAACUCUGGCAAAAGGCCAUGUCAAAGGUGCCCUAAGGUACAGAGGUGGCCCGGUGAGAAGUCCUCAGGUUCUUAAGACUGACAAAGUAAUGAGAGAGACGUGGCACCAAGCACUGAAUCAGAAGAGAGUACGUUGUUUUUGUCCACUUUGAUGGCCUUACCCUCUGAAUCAGUGAUUUCGUCCUUUCCACUCUCAUACUCUCCUAAAGCUUCCUUCAGCUCACUCAAUUCUCAGAGUGACCAGGAUUGUCUCCUAGUAAUAGCAGGAGAAACUUGUGAGACGACUGCUAAGACCAAAACCACCAGCAAAAGGAAAAGAGCCAUCUUGUUUCCUUGAGGAUGAAGAAAAAUAGAAGGCAGAUGAAUUCGCUGCUAGCCUGCCUGCCUGGGUCCUGUGAUGGCAGCAUGAGGCUUCCUUUUCCUGACUGUGAAUAGCCUGUCCUGAUACUGGAGGUAAUUCAUGUGCACAG